Molecule: ribosomal RNA, 464 nt
Filed under: uncultured bacterium
Lineage: Bacteria
Description: partial 16S ribosomal RNA
Rfam family: Bacterial small subunit ribosomal RNA
Source: RNAcentral
GACGAACGCUGGCGGCGUGCUUAACACAUGCAAGUCGUACGGUAAGGCCCUUUCGGGGGUACACGAGUGGCGAACGGGUGAGUAACACGUGAGUAACCUGCCCACAACUUUGGGAUAACGCUAGGAAACUGGUGCUAAUACUGGAUAUGUGCUCCUGCUGCAUGGUGGGGGUUGGAAAGCUCCGGCGGUUGUGGAUGGACUCGCGGCCUAUCAGCUUGUUGGUGGGGUAGUGGCCUACCAAGGCGGCGACGGGUAGCCGGCCUGAGAGGGUGACCGGCCACAUUGGGACUGAGAUACGGCCCAGACUCCUACGGGAGGCAGCAGUGGGGAAUAUUGCACAAUGGGCGCAAGCCUGAUGCAGCAACGCCGCGUGCGGGAUGACGGCCUUCGGGUUGUAAACCGCUUUCAGCAGGGACGAAGCUUUUUGUGACGGGACCUGCAGAAGAAGCACCGGCUAACUACGU